GACGAACGCUGGCGGCGUGCCUAACACAUGCAAGUCGAACGGGAUCCAUGGAGUGCUUGCACUCCGGAAGAUCUAGUGGCGAACGGGUGAGUAACACGUGAGAAACCUGCCCCAGACUCUGGGAUAACCUCGGGAAACCGAAGCUAAUACCGGAUAUUCUCCUUUGGUCGCAUGGCCAGUUGAGGAAAGUUUUUCGGUCUGGGAGGGUCUCGCGGCCUAUCAGCUAGUUGGUGGGGUAACGGCCCACCAAGGCUACGACGGGUAGCUGGUUUGAGAGAACGAUCAGCCACACUGGAACUGAGACACGGUCCAGACUCCUACGGGAGGCAGCAGUGGGGAAUCUUGCGCAAUGGGCGAAAGCCUGACGCAGCAACGCCGCGUGCGGGAUGAAGGCCUCGGUUGUAACGACUUUCUAGCAGGACGAAAUAGACGGUAACCGUCGCAGAAGAAGACCCGGCCGUAACUACGUACGCCACGCAGCCGCGGUAACGUAGUGUGUGUA
RNAcentral lists this ribosomal RNA (502 nucleotides) under uncultured bacterium. Its description in RNAcentral is "bacterial SSU rRNA". It matches the Rfam family "Bacterial small subunit ribosomal RNA", at positions 28 to 537 of the family's 1533-position model. The record is from RNAcentral.